UCCAUGGUAGCUUAGUGGUUAAGCCAUAUGCCUGAAGUACAAGGUGAAUUUUAUGGCUUGGGUUCGAUCCCAGCCAUGUUA
Molecule: non-coding RNA, 81 nt
Organism: Megalops atlanticus (tarpon)
Lineage: Eukaryota; Metazoa; Chordata; Actinopteri; Elopiformes; Megalopidae
Source: the annotation of a GenBank genome assembly